AGAACGAACGCUGGCGGCAUGCCUAACACAUGCAAGUCAAACGUGAUCCAGGCUUCGGCCUGGUGAAAGUGGCAGACGGGUGAGUAACGCGUGGGAACCUGCCCUGUGGUACCCGGGAAUAACCGCGGGAAACUGCGGCUAAUACCCUAUGAGUCCUUCGGGAGAAAGAUUUAUCGCCAUAGGAGGGCCCGCGUCGGAUUAGGUAGUUGGUGGGGUAACGGCCUACCAAGCCUUCGAUCCGUAGCUGGUCUGAGAGGAUGAUCAGCCACACUGGGACUGAGAUACGGCCCAGACUCCUACGGGAGGCAGCAGUGGGAAUAUUGGACAAUGGGGGCAACCCUGAUCCAGCAAUGCCGCGUGGGUGAUGAAGGCCUUCGGGUUGUAAAGCCCGUUUCGGCGGGAAGAUGAUGACGGUACCGCAGAAGAACGCCCGGCUAACUUCGCGCCAGCAGCCGC
Molecule: ribosomal RNA, 456 nt
Filed under: uncultured bacterium
Lineage: Bacteria
Description: SSU rRNA
Rfam family: Bacterial small subunit ribosomal RNA
Source: RNAcentral